CCUGGAAGGGCCUAUGGGCCAUAACAACCAGUUGGCCAAUCCACACAGGGCAAGCCCUCCAAACCUGGAGGCACACCAAUCCUGAGCCUGUGUGUACCCCUAGACACUCCCUUUACGCUGCCCUACAAGAUCUCUAUGCAGCUCCUUCAAGCUGUCUUUGCUAGCCAUCCACCAUGGUGGGUGGGUGAAAGACCCAAGCUAACAUGGGGUUAGCUCGUUAAACAACAAUAAAGCCUCAUGCUGUUUGCAGCAAGCUUUUGAAUCUGCCUGGUGAUUGGGGUGACUGAGGUCCUGGGCUGAGACCCCGGAGGCCAGAGUUUUCUGGGGGUCUAACAUUUGGGGGCUCGUCCUGGAUUUGCGACCACCCCUCACCUGAGUGGAUUCGAUCUUGGAGAUGUGCCCGGAGGAUCACAGACUGCUGCCCUGAGGACACCCAGGAGGAGGAAUGGACUUCAAGCAACACUCAAGCAAGAAAGGACCCUAGUGUUUAUUGGUUUGUUUAUUUGUUGGUUGCAUUUGUUUGUUUUUGAAACAGGGUCUCACUACGUAUCUCUGGCUAUCCUGAAACUCAUUAUGUAGAUCAGGUUGGCCUCAGAUUCACAGAGACCCUCCUACCUCUGCCUCCUGAAUGCUGGGAUUAAAAGGCAUGUGCCACUACACCCAGCAGAACAGACCCUCAUAAGUGCCACCUCUGACCCAAGCUCUGGACAAUGUGUCCAGGAAGAUAUACAAUGGCCACAGGACGUGAGGUUGUAAAUGUUCUCCAAGUUUUUUUUUUAAUCUGCUUUCUAAGAAGGGAAGUUUCAGAUCUUCUUUUGAGAAGUUCCUUUCUUACAACUUUAGAAAGCAGACUAAUACAGUAUAAAUACCUCAAGGGACAUCGGCAAUCAGAAAAUCUAUCCAUUACCAGAGGCUAAAUAACAGCAUUUGACACUUGAGCAACCUCCUAAACAGCUCCCAGAAAGAGACUUAGAAAUACAUUAGGACACAAGACGAGGGGCUGGAUUACUGCUUUUUGCAGAGGAUUUGGGUUUGAUUCCUAGUACCACAUUGGAUGGCUCACUGUGGUGAUUUGACAGAAAAUGGCCCCCAAAGGGAGUGGCCCUAUUACAAGGUGUGGCCUUGUUAGAGGAAGUGUGUCAGUAAGGGGUCAGGCUUUGAGGUCUCAUAUAGGCUCAAGAUAACACACUACUUAGUGUCUCAGAUCACUUCCUGUUCCUUGCAGGAACAAGAACCU
This 1237-nucleotide long non-coding RNA is filed under the name Cricetulus griseus (Chinese hamster). RNAcentral describes it as "lncRNA (ENSCGRG00015043176.1)". Lineage: Eukaryota; Metazoa; Chordata; Mammalia; Rodentia; Cricetidae. The record is from RNAcentral.